GACGAACGCUGGCGGCGUGCUUAACACAUGCAAGUCGAACGAUGAAGCCGGAGCUUGCUCUGGUGAAUUAGUGGCGAACGGGUGAGUAACACGUGAGUAACCUGCCCUUGACUCUGGGAUAACUGCUAGAAAUGGUAGCUAAUACCGGAUACGACCCUCGGAGGCAUCUCCAGGGGGUGGAAAGAAUUUCGGGCAAGGAUGGACUCGCGGCCUAUCAGCUAGUUGGUGAGGUAACGGCUCACCAAGGCGACGACGGGUAGCCGGCCUGAGAGGGUGACCGGCCACACUGGGACUGAGACACGGCCCAGACUCCUACGGGAGGCAGCAGUGGGGAAUAUUGCACAAUGGGCGCAAGCCUGAUGCAGCAAUGCCGCGUGAGUGAAGAAGGCCUUCGGGUUGCAAAGCUCUUUUGUCAGGGAAGAAACGGUGGGAGCGAAUAACUUCUACUAAUGACGGUACCUGAAGAAUAAGCACCGGCUAAC
This 482-nucleotide ribosomal RNA is filed under the name uncultured bacterium. RNAcentral's name for it is "partial 16S ribosomal RNA". It matches the Rfam family "Bacterial small subunit ribosomal RNA", at positions 28 to 501 of the family's 1533-position model. The record is from RNAcentral.